RNAcentral lists this unclassified non-coding RNA (337 nucleotides) under soil metagenome. RNAcentral describes it as "partial contains 5.8S ribosomal RNA, internal transcribed spacer 2, and large subunit ribosomal RNA". The stretch from base 1 to 119 matches the Rfam family "5.8S ribosomal RNA", at positions 35 to 154 of the family's 154-position model. The record is from RNAcentral.
GAUGAAGAACGUAGCGAAAUGCGAUAAGUAAUGUGAAUUGCAGAAUUCAGUGAAUCAUCGAAUCUUGAACGCACAUUGCGCCCGGCAGUACUCUGCCGGGCAUGCCUGUUCGAGCGUCAUUUCAACCCUCAAGCCCUGCUUGGUGUUGGGGCCCCACGGCUGCCGUGGGCCCUGAAAGGAAGUGGCGGGCUCGCUACAACUCCGAGCGUAGUAAUUCAUUAUCUCGCUUAGGGCGUUGGGCGGCGCUCCAGCCGUUAAAGAACCAUCUUUAACUCAAGGUUGACCUCGGAUCAGGUAGGAAUACCCGCUGAACUUAAGCAUAUCAAUAAGCGGAGGA